This 500-nucleotide ribosomal RNA is filed under the name uncultured bacterium. RNAcentral describes it as "partial 16S ribosomal RNA". It matches the Rfam family "Bacterial small subunit ribosomal RNA", at positions 30 to 523 of the family's 1533-position model. The record is from RNAcentral.
AUUGAACGCUGGCGGCAUGCCCUACACAUGCAAGUCGAACGGCAGCACGGGAGCAAUCCUGGUGGCGAGUGGCGAACGGGUGAGUAAUAUAUCGGAACGUGCCCAGUCGUGGGGGAUAACGCAGCGAAAGCUGUGCUAAUACCGCAUACGAUCUACGGAUGAAAGCGGGGGAUCGCAAGACCUCGCGCGAUUGGAGCGGCCGAUAUCAGAUUAGCUAGUUGGUGAGGUAAAGGCUCACCAAGGCGACGAUCUGUAGCUGGUCUGAGAGGACGACCAGCCACACGGGAACUGAGACACGGUCCAGACUCCUACGGGAGGCAGCAGUGGGGAAUUUUGGACAAUGGGCGCAAGCCUGAUCCAGCAAUGCCGCGUGCAGGAUGAAGGCCUUCGGGUUGUAAACUGCUUUUGUACGGAGCGAAACGGUCUUUCCUAAUACGAGAGGCUAAUGACGGUACCGUAAGAAUAAGCACCGGCUAACUACGUGCCAGCCGCCGCAGUAA